CAAGUCGAGCGGUAACAGAAAGUAGCUUGCUACUUUGCUGACGAGCGGCGGACGGGUGAGUAAUGCUUGGGAACAUGCCUUGAGGUGGGGGACAACAGUUGGAAACGACUGCUAAUACCGCAUAAUGUCUACGGACCAAAGGGGGCUUCGGCUCUCGCCUUUAGAUUGGCCCAAGUGGGAUUAGCUAGUUGGUGAGGUAAUGGCUCACCAAGGCAACGAUCCCUAGCUGGUUUGAGAGGAUGAUCAGCCACACUGGAACUGAGACACGGUCCAGACUCCUACGGGAGGCAGCAGUGGGGAAUAUUGCACAAUGGGCGAAAGCCUGAUGCAGCCAUGCCGCGUGUGUGAAGAAGGCCUUCGGGUUGUAAAGCACUUUCAGUCAGGAGGAAAGGGUGUGAGUUAAUACCUCAUAUCUGUGACGUUACUGACAGAAGAAGCACCGGCUAACUCCGUGCCAGCAGCCGCGGUAAUACGGAGGGUGCGAGCGUUAAUCGGAAUUACUGGGCGUAAAGCGUACGCAGGCGGUUUGUUAAGCGAGAUGUGAAAGCCCCGGGCUCAACCUGGGAACUGCAUUUCGAACUGGCAAACUAGAGUGUGAUAGAGGGUGGUAGAAUUUCAGGUGUAGCGGUGAAAUGCGUAGAGAUCUGAAGGAAUACCGAUGGCGAAGGCAGCCACCUGGGUCAACACUGACGCUCAUGUACGAAAGCGUGGGGAGCAAACGGGAUUAGAUACCCCGGUAGUCCACGCCGUAAACGAUGUCUACUAGAAGCUCGGAACCUCGGUUCUGUUUUUCAAAGCUAACGCAUUAAGUAGACCGCCUGGGGAGUACGGCCGCAAGGUUAAAACUCAAAUGAAUUGACGGGGGCCCGCACAAGCGGUGAGCAUGUGUUUAAUUCGAUGCAACGCGAAGAAUCUUACCUACACUUGACAUACAGAGAACUUUCUAGAGAUAGAUUGUGACUUCGGGAGCUCUGAUACAGGUGCUGCAUGCUGUCGUCAGCUCGUGUGUGAGAUGUUGGUUAAGUCCGCAACGAGCGCAACCCCUAUCCUUAGUUGCUAGCAGGUAAUGCUGAAACUCUAAGGAGACUGGCGGGUGUAUAAACCGGAAGAAAGGGUGGGGAAAAACCUCCAAGUCAUCUUUGGGCCCUUUACUGUGUGGGAGCUACCACAACAGUGUGUGCAUAUGUGUGGGCGG
This 1195-nucleotide ribosomal RNA is filed under the name uncultured Pseudoalteromonas sp. RNAcentral describes it as "bacterial SSU rRNA". It matches the Rfam family "Bacterial small subunit ribosomal RNA", at positions 58 to 1254 of the family's 1533-position model. The record is from RNAcentral. Lineage: Bacteria; Pseudomonadati; Pseudomonadota; Gammaproteobacteria; Alteromonadales; Pseudoalteromonadaceae.